Molecule: small nucleolar RNA, 140 nt
Organism: Meriones unguiculatus (Mongolian gerbil)
Lineage: Eukaryota; Metazoa; Chordata; Mammalia; Rodentia; Muridae
Product: small nucleolar RNA SNORA48
Exons: 1
Source: RefSeq, a predicted model, not a curated record
ACCCCCUGGCAAUGACAAAGAGACACCUUGUUGGUGUGGUUCUUAUUUCAGUCAGGGGCAGAGCAGAUGUCAGUCCUUUGUUCAUCCUAGUUUGAUGCCUGACUUGGUGGCCAAUGCUGUCCUAUGCCUAGGACUCAUAA